This 648-nucleotide long non-coding RNA is filed under the name Parus major (Great Tit). RNAcentral's name for it is "lncRNA (ENSPMJG00000005004.1)". The record is from RNAcentral. Lineage: Eukaryota; Metazoa; Chordata; Aves; Passeriformes; Paridae.
UUGCCCAUUUCUUAUGUGUUUAAAGACUAAUUAUAAGAAUAAAGAUUUAGUGAUCAAUGCAGAAUUCUAAUUUAAUUGUUGAGUAUUAGAAUGCAUUUUCUCCCCCUCUUCUAACUUAGAAACUGAAUUUUUUUUUUUUUUCAUUUUUUUCCUACCUGGCAAAAGCUAAUUUAAUCCAACUGGAUUGCACAUUCGAAAUGUACAGAAUUUUGGUCCGAUUUACCGAGUAUCACUCCCUGGAUAUAGCUCAAUUUUCCCUCACAGGACUGACAGAUGCCUAAAUGCAAGAGAUUGUUCUUGUCAAGGGAGGCACUGACACAAAUUCAGUUGUGUGGGUUGUUGGCUCUGUCUGAUGUUGUCCCUUCUAAUGCUACAGAACAAAUCACCUUGCACAAGACCCUGAGGACUGGGGCUGAUCAUGCUGAGAUUUGGGCAGCACCUCAUCAAGCCCUCGGUGGUGUUCCUGAGGACGGAGCUGUGCUUUGCCCUGGUGAACCGCAGGCCGGUGGUGCCAGGACGUAUCCUUUCCACAGCCGAUCCUGGGAAAAGCAGCACACGCUCGGGGAGCUUGGAAGGCCAGGUAGGAUGGAAUAAUAUUCCUGGUUUAUUCCAAAAACCAGGCAGUGAUGCUUGAUCAGAAGAUGCUUG